CCCUUUGGGGUGUGACUGCGUACCUUUUGUAUAAUGGGUCAGCGACUUAUAUUCUGUAGCAAGGUUAACCGAAUAGGGGAGCCGGAGGGAAACCGAGUCUUAACCGGGCGUUAAGUUGCAGGGUAUAGACCCGAAACCCGGUGAUCUAGCCAUGGGCAGGUUGAAGGUUGGGUAACACUAACUGGAGGACCGAACCGACUAAUGUUGAAAAAUUAGCGGAUGACCUGUGGCUGGGGGUGAAAGGCCAAUCAAACCGGGAGAUAGCUGGUUCUCCCCGAAAGCUAUUUAGGUAGCGCCUCGUGAAUUCAUCUCCGGGGGUAGAGCACUGUUUCGGCUAGGGGGCCAUCCCGGCUUACCAACCCGAUGCAAACUGCGAAUACCGGAGAAUGUUAUCACGGGAGACACACGGCGGGUGCUAACGUCCGUCGUGAAGAGGGAAACAACCCAGACCGCCAGCUAAGGUCCCAAAGUCAUGGUUAAGUGGGAAACGAUGUGGGAAGGCCCAGACAGCCAGGAUGUUGGCUUAGAAGCAGCCAUCAUUUAAAGAAAGCGUAAUAGCUCACUGGUCGAGUCGGCCUGCGCGGAAGAUGUAACGGGGCUAAACCAUGCACCGAAGCUGCGGCAGCGACGCUGAUGCGUUGUUGGGUAGGGGAGCG
Molecule: ribosomal RNA, 656 nt
Filed under: Salmonella enterica
Lineage: Bacteria; Pseudomonadati; Pseudomonadota; Gammaproteobacteria; Enterobacterales; Enterobacteriaceae
Description: partial 23S ribosomal RNA
Rfam family: Bacterial large subunit ribosomal RNA
Source: RNAcentral